Molecule: transfer RNA, 78 nt
Filed under: Persephonella marina EX-H1
Lineage: Bacteria; Pseudomonadati; Aquificota; Aquificia; Aquificales; Hydrogenothermaceae
Description: tRNA-Thr
Rfam family: tRNA
About the family: Transfer RNA (tRNA) molecules are approximately 80 nucleotides in length. Their secondary structure includes four short double-helical elements and three loops (D, anti-codon, and T loops). Further hydrogen bonds mediate the characteristic L-shaped molecular structure. tRNAs have two regions of fundamental functional importance: the anti-codon, which is responsible for specific mRNA codon recognition, and the 3' end, to which the tRNAs corresponding amino acid is attached (by aminoacyl-tRNA synthetases). tRNAs cope with the degeneracy of the genetic code in two manners: having more than one tRNA (with a specific anti-codon) for a particular amino acid; and 'wobble' base-pairing, i.e. permitting non-standard base-pairing at the 3rd anti-codon position.
Source: RNAcentral
AGCUGGCGUAGCUCAGUCGGCAGAGCAGGUGAUUUGUAAUCACCAGGCCGUGGGUUCGAGUCCCACCGCCAGCUCUUU